AAGUAUUUUAGUAUAAAUUUUAUUAUUUUUUAAUGGUGGAUAAAAAGGAUUUUAAAAUCUU
This 61-nucleotide transfer RNA is filed under the name Thelazia callipaeda (thelaziosis nematode). RNAcentral describes it as "tRNA-Asn". Lineage: Eukaryota; Metazoa; Nematoda; Chromadorea; Rhabditida; Thelaziidae. The record is from RNAcentral.